This 230-nucleotide ribosomal RNA is filed under the name uncultured bacterium. RNAcentral describes it as "partial 16S ribosomal RNA". It matches the Rfam family "Bacterial small subunit ribosomal RNA", at positions 57 to 305 of the family's 1533-position model. The record is from RNAcentral.
GCAAGUCGAACGAUAAGCUCUCUUCGGAGAGUGGACAGUGGCAGACGGGUGAGUAACGCGUAGCAACCUACCUAACACUUGGGAAUAACGUCGAGAAAUUGACGCUAAUACCUGAUACGCCCUUCGGGGGAAAGAUUUAUCGGUGAUAGAUGGGGCUGCGUUAGAUUAGCUAGAUGGUGAGGUAAAAGCUCACCAUGGCGACGAUCAGUAGCUGGUCUGAGAGGAUGGAC